CUCGGCGGGGGGAACCGUUCCCGGCCCGGAGCAGAGGCGAAGUCGCUGCGGAAACUCCUCUGCGGCGGUUUUCCAUCGCCUGAAGUGGCGGCACUUGAGAGGCGUCACAGGUGGAGCCCCCAUCCUCGAUCGAAACUGCUAACCGACUCCAUCAAAAAUAACUGUCUUUCGGAUGAGGAUUUAUCCUCCCUGCACUGGGAUUCAGAUGCCCGGCCCCGAAGGAUGGGUUCGCUCACGCACCUUAUUUCACAGGACCGAGCGGUGCUGUUUCUUUACGCACCGCCUUGCCAGGUGGACAGCCGGUGCUUUUCCAGUAUUUGGAACGCUUUCUGGGGGAAACAGCGACGUUCGUGUAAAGGGUAAGUGUAUUGCCAUGCAGAUAAAAGGAAAUUCAAAACCAUCCUGUUAACACAACCUCUGGGGAGUGCCCAGUCUACUUCCAGCUAAAGCAGAAUCCAGCGGUUUGGGCACUGAUUUAAAACCUCCCAUGGAGCAGUACAAUAGGAAACAUAUCUUCAGUCACCCACAGAAAUUCAUGUUCAUCCUUCAGAACUGCAGAUGGUUACAGCAUGGAGCAUCCCCCGACCCACCUGGAGUUUGGUCACUUCCCAGCGAUGCUUGGGCCGUCUCUCCAGAGAAACCCCGAGGAACCUGGACACUUCGCAGCCCUGCCCGAAACCAUCUCAGCUGGUUCUUGCGGGCCAAGGGGGGCUUCAUGCCUGACAGGGAUAUGCUCUUCUCUCCAACACCAGUCCUGAGACCGUGACUGCAGAUGAAGGAAAAAGAGGAGACACACCGGGCUGCGCAGUGCCAACAGGACCCAGUUUCUACAGACAUAACCAAGAAAAAAAAAUACUGGAAAACCUAAAACCAUUCUGCCUGCUGUGUUCUGCCAGCUCUUUCUAGGAAAAUGGAAUAAACGAAGUUACAUAUGAAAAACUGAUUUCCUCAGACAGCCACAGUAAAACAGAAGAAGAGAAGAAGUGGAGAAGAGGACUGGAUAUAGAUACAGGCAAGUUUAUAACAUUGGAUGAUUCCAACCUCCUCCCUCUCUCUCCCCCUCUCCUUUUAAAAAACAAAACGUGAUACCCUGUCAGUUUGCUCCACGUUUCCGUGAGGCAGCUCAAAAGUAACAAACUGUUCCCUGAGUACAGGAAAAAACAACAACAAAAAAACCCCAAAAAACUAGAGUAACUUUUAAAGGAGGUAGUAUAAAACAGGAAUUGCAUGGGUUCAAGGCAGUAGCAGUACUCACCUCUUUCAACAGACUCUUCAACUAAAGCUCUGGCUUUUUUAUUUCUCAUGGUAGCCUAAUCAGAGUUUUAGAUUGGCAUGUGGGUAAAGUCACUCCCUGAGCUAAAAUUCCUGGCUAACGGCACGCUAGGUGAAGGCAUGGAGCAGGGCUGCAUCCUAACAACAGCUCUGAGACACACUAGGAUGCUGGCAGUGCUUAUCAGCACUCAAACCUGGGUAAAAAUGAAUGAUAAACUCCUGAUACUGAUUACUUAAAACAUCUAAGAAGCAUUUAAGGCAUCUUUCUGUACUCCAGAGCAACUUCAUGAAUACUAAAAAGGCAUAAGGCAAAUCAGUAAUUUCAUACUAUAUAAUGCAAGGCACCAUUGCUAAGAAGUAGUGUGAUACUGGAAUACUCAACAUGAUCUAUUCCGUGACUGAGCCAAACGGUUUGGAAAUGCUGCAUACUUCUUCAUUUUGCGAUGCUUUUUAGCAUUAACUGUCAAUAAAAGGGCACAUUUGUCACUGUGGGGAACCCAACAUGUCCCAGAGCCCGAAGGAUAUAGCAUACAUCCUGUCAGCAGUUGCUGGCACAAGUUUCUGGGGAAAAGGCACUGUCCUAGGCUUACCGGGGCCGUGAGAAAUUAAGAGGAACAAAAGCUUUCAUGUGGCUGUUGGCGGAUGCACCAACUCCAGUUUUCCCAGUUUUUAACAUCCUCUGUGUCAACCACAUGAAAUCAUUACAUUUUAUACUCUGAGGUUUCCUUCUUUUUAAAGACAGAGCUUCAGCUAAACAAUCUCAUUCACCUACCUAUACAACUCCCUGAUCACUGAGCGCACACGUGCGCACGCACACAUACACACACACA
Molecule: long non-coding RNA, 2102 nt
Organism: Athene cunicularia (burrowing owl)
Lineage: Eukaryota; Metazoa; Chordata; Aves; Strigiformes; Strigidae
Exons: 5
Source: RefSeq, a predicted model, not a curated record